UGGAGAGUUUGAUCCUGGCUCAGGAUCAACGCUGGCGGCGUGCCUAAUGCAUGCAAGUCGAACGGAGCCACCUUCGGGUGGUCACGUGGCGGACGGGUGAGGAACACGUGGGUGAUCUGCCCCGAGGUGGGGGAUAGCCACCAGAAAUGGUGGGUAAGACCGCAUGAGGUCGCAGCGAUGAACCGCUGCGAGCAAAGUCGCAAGACGCCUUGGGAGGAGCCUGCGGCGGAUUAGCUAGUUGGUGGGGUAACGGCUUACCAAGGCGAUGAUCCGUA
Molecule: ribosomal RNA, 275 nt
Filed under: Thalassiosira minuscula
Lineage: Eukaryota; Bacillariophyta; Thalassiosirophyceae; Thalassiosirales; Thalassiosiraceae
Description: partial Bacterial small subunit ribosomal RNA
Rfam family: Bacterial small subunit ribosomal RNA
Source: RNAcentral